ACAGAGGGUGCGAGCGUUAAUCGGAAUUACUGGGCGUAAAGAGCGCGCAGGCGGUCGUUCAAGUCGCGUGUGAAAGCCCCCGGCUCAACUGGGGAGGGUCACGCGAUACUGAUCGACUCGAAGGCAGGAGAGGGAAGUGGAAUUCCCGGUGUAGUGGUGAAAUGCGUAGAUAUCGGGAGGAACACCAGUGGCGAAGGCGACUUCCUGGCCUGUUCUUGACGCUGAGGCGCGAAAGCUAGGGGAGCAAACGGGA
Molecule: ribosomal RNA, 253 nt
Filed under: uncultured prokaryote
Description: partial 16S ribosomal RNA
Rfam family: Bacterial small subunit ribosomal RNA
Source: RNAcentral